UUUCAAGGUGUGGCUGAGAUGUGCUUUUCUGCACUGUUAUUGACAACCAUCUUAUCCGCAGGUUUUGCCUGCAUUCUUUGUAUCAUUAUGAUGGCAAGAAAGUUCUUCACGAAAAGCUUCACUACGGCAAUUAAUUGGGUCCCAAUGAAGAUUUUCAUCUCAAGUGAAGCUGAAGCACGACAAAACUUAUCAGAUCACAUCUAAAAUCGGCAGAAAAUAGCUAACAUCAAUCGGCUCAACAAGAGGCAAGACCGAUUUUCCAGAUUGAAAAGCUUAAUGUAAAGUUAUUUUUCCUGUAAUAGAAAAAAGCCGAUCAAAUGGAACUUAAUGGAAUCAGAGAUCCAAUCCGAAUCUUGUAAUGAAUUGUAUAAAAUGAGUUUUUUUUUUUUUUUUGAAGAAGUUAGAGAAAUGUUUUUUCAUGAUGUGCGUACAUACAUUUUCUUUAUGAUUGUCGAUGUUUGUAUUCUAGUGUGGAAAGCAAGUUCAAUAAAAGUCAACA
Molecule: long non-coding RNA, 499 nt
Organism: Uloborus diversus
Lineage: Eukaryota; Metazoa; Arthropoda; Arachnida; Araneae; Uloboridae
Exons: 3
Source: RefSeq, a predicted model, not a curated record